RNAcentral lists this ribosomal RNA (485 nucleotides) under Clostridioides difficile. RNAcentral's name for it is "partial 23S ribosomal RNA". It matches the Rfam family "Bacterial large subunit ribosomal RNA", at positions 2438 to 2925 of the family's 2925-position model. The record is from RNAcentral. Lineage: Bacteria; Bacillati; Bacillota; Clostridia; Peptostreptococcales; Peptostreptococcaceae.
AGGGCCAUCGCUCAACGGAUAAAAGCUACCCUGGGGAUAACAGGCUUAUCUCCCCCAAGAGUCCACAUCGACGGGGAGGUUUGGCACCUCGAUGUCGGCUCAUCACAUCCUGGGGCUGUAGUAGGUCCCAAGGGUUGGGCUGUUCGCCCAUUAAAGUGGUACGCGAGCUGGGUUCAGAACGUCGUGAGACAGUUCGGUCCCUAUCCGUCGCAGGCGUAGGAAAUUUGAGAAGACCUGUCCUUAGUACGAGAGGACCGGGAUGGACGUACCUCUGGUGUACCAGUUGUCCUGCCAAGGGCAUGGCUGGGUAGCUAUGUACGGAAUGGAUAAGCGCUGAAAGCAUCUAAGCGCGAAGCCAACUUCAAGAUAAGAUUUCCCACCGCAAGGGUAAGACCCCAGAAAGACUAUCUGGUUGAUAGGUCGAAGGUGUAAGUGCAGCAAUGUAUUUAGCUUAUCGAUACUAAUAGGUCGAGGACUUGACCAAU